CUUAGUAGAGUGUAUUUAGAGAUGGGGUGGGAAUGAUUCAACUAUUCACUAAGUACUUCACUGACAACCUAAGCUAACACUGGGGCAGUGACAGAUGGAAAAGCAGCUCUUGAGAAUUACAGCAGAAUCCAGCUCCUCAAACCUGUCAUCCCAGGAGACCUUUCCUUGCAGUGGUUUCUGUGAGAAUUGGCCCCCUGAGGACAGACCCAGGAAGGCGGAGGGUCUAGCCUUGGACCGUGCACCGGCUCUCAGCCUGAAAUGUUUACUCAGUUUACCAAAUGGCUCAAACCAUAAAAAUCACCGUGAUGGUUUGUAGAUAGCCAAGCCCACCAAGGGAUGUUUCCCCUGAGUUGUCCAAAUUCAUGAACACCCUUCACCUGCAGGGAGGUGAUCUGUUGGAGAGGAGAGGAAAACUGGCGCCUUCUCUUUUAAAGGCAAUAAUGGAAUUGACUUUCAAUAACUGAAUUUGUGCACAAAACAUUCUAAACACUAGUGAAGCCUGUUUUGUUGAACUAAUUCUGGCUCUGGAAAUGUUUUAUAGUUAUUUACAGUUUUGUUUUGUUCGGGGAGUUUUUGGUUUGGAUUCAAGCUUAGUUUGUUAAUAUGUAUAAUUUAGCAUAUAUUGCACUCAUGUAAAUAUGGAGUAAGUAUUGUAAACUAUUUCAUUGCUGGGGAUUGUGGGUGUUAUACAUACAUUUAGGACUGCAAUU
This 710-nucleotide long non-coding RNA is filed under the name Bos taurus (domestic cattle). RNAcentral's name for it is "long non-coding RNA NONBTAT005495". Lineage: Eukaryota; Metazoa; Chordata; Mammalia; Artiodactyla; Bovidae. The record is from RNAcentral.